RNAcentral lists this ribosomal RNA (200 nucleotides) under uncultured bacterium. RNAcentral describes it as "partial 16S ribosomal RNA". It matches the Rfam family "Bacterial small subunit ribosomal RNA", at positions 8 to 209 of the family's 1533-position model. The record is from RNAcentral.
AGAGUUUGAUCCUGGCUCAGAACGAACGUUAGCGGCGCGCUUAACACAUGCAAGUCGUGCGAGAAAGGGGCAACCCCGGUAAAGCGGCGCACGGGUGAGUAACACGUAGGCAAUCUGCCCUCAGGUGGUGGAUAACUUUCCGAAAGGAGAGCUAAUACAGCAUGAGACCACGGGUCCGCAAGGACCUGAGGUAAAAGCCA